Cervus elaphus (red deer) is the source of this 1777-nucleotide long non-coding RNA. RefSeq lists it as uncharacterized. The transcript is spliced from 3 exons. Lineage: Eukaryota; Metazoa; Chordata; Mammalia; Artiodactyla; Cervidae. The record is from RefSeq and is a predicted model, not a curated record.
AGCCGAGUCACCAAGGAAGCCCAAGAAUACUGGAGUGGAUCAUUGUGCACAACAUGAUUUGCUAUCUGUACAUACUGCAAAAAAGAUCACCACCCAAGCGGUCCUGCGUGAAUUUGCUCACCAGUUCAGGUGAGACCAUUAUCUUACGUGAGGAGGAAAGAUAACCAGCUGCAAAUGGAGAGGGCUGGCCAGACCUUACCAUCCUAACUUACGGUGGAGCGGACUUUGGAUGUCCGUAGCGACCGAGUCAAGGGCCUUGGGGAAGACAUGAACGAGUCUGUUCUCACUAGCAGCAGGAGGUGAUGGAGAUCGUGUAAACCUGCGGACCUCGGUCCUUUCUGACCCUCUACCCACCACCCUCGGGGGGCAGUGGUCACCCAGCGGGGCAGGGACGCCCGUCUGGUAGUACGGUCCCCAGAGCAACAUGAGCAUCUCCUUGACGACCCGUCAGAGAGGAGACGAGGCCAACACUGCCAUCUCCUUCCUGUUUAGGGGUGGGAGGGGCAACAGACAACACUCACAAGUACGCAGAGACAUUGUCUCACCGGCAGUCUCAAGCUUAAAAAGCCAUCCUUUGGAUAAAUGACCUGUUCCUACUGUAUACCACAGAGAACUCUAUUCAACAUCCUCUAACAAGACAUAAAGGAAAAGACUAUGAACACGGCCAGUUUAGGAGGUAGGCAUGGGCCAUUCCAAAGGCUUGUGGGCAUUCAACCUGAGGUUACGGUUAAAAUUCAACAAGUUUCAUGUCGCCAACGUGCAGUUACAGAAAAUGGACAUCUUAGUUGGGGAAAAUAAUUUCAUCUAUUUUCUUCUCCUCUAAGUCAUGGAUGACAAGAGGUCAAGCCAAGAAGUCAGCGGACUUGUUUCCAAGAUCAGAAAUGGGAGCAAAUGAGACCCUCAGACAUCAUUAACAUGGAUUCGCUGGAAUGAUAGAUACCCUAGUGUGUAAAGAAUGACAAGAUGCUUCAGAUGCAAUGGUUUUCUUCUCCAAAGUAAUUAUCAAGAUGUGGCCCUCUGUGUGUGUAUUGGGGGUGAGGGGGUGACACUUACAAGUGUUUCAGAAUUUCCCUGACACAGAAGUCCGAAAGCAGAACCAACUGUUAGGUCAGAAAAAGAAAGGGAAUGAAUAGUAACGGUAACAAUUACCAUACAAAAUUUAAAGAUGUCUCAACUAAAAGCAGCUUUUCCUUCUCAUCUUUUGUUACAAAUAACAUUUUUUCCACCUACAGGCCUUUGAUCACCCUUGGGAUUCGGAACAAAGAAUUAAAGAAUUGAGGUUUUUUUUUUUUUUAAGUUUCUUUAUAUAUGUAAUCAAAAGGACAUACUUUCUCUCAUGAAAUGAAUUUUUCUAUCCCUUCUUCAGGGGAAUUUUCCAACCCAGAGACUGAACCUGGAUCUCCCACGUUGCAGACAGAUCCUUUACCAUCUGAGACACCAGGGAAGCCCAGUCAACACAGACAUUAAUAAUUUCAGAUGAUUUCUAGCUAAUGCGUCAUUUAAAAAUUAAAGAGACUUUGCUGGUGGUCCAGCCACAAUGAAAGAUCUUGCAUUUACUAACCAAGAUUGAAUAUUGUGCAUACCACAGCUAUGAGCCAGUACAUCCAAAUAAAUACAUACAUACAUAAAUAUUUUCAGAAAAUAAAUGAGAAAAAAUAGGUCUCAAAAGAGAACGCUCUGUGAGCCCAGAGGUACCAAUCAGUCAGUUCAGUCACUCAGUCGUGUCUGACUCUUUGCAACCCCAUGGACUGCAGCAUGCCAGGCCUCCCUGUCCAUC